Molecule: ribosomal RNA, 500 nt
Filed under: uncultured cyanobacterium
Lineage: Bacteria; Bacillati; Cyanobacteriota
Description: bacterial SSU rRNA
Rfam family: Bacterial small subunit ribosomal RNA
Source: RNAcentral
UGGGGAAUUUUCCGCAAUGGGCGAAAGCCUGACGGAGCAAUACCGCGUGAGGGAGGAAGGCUCUUGGGUUGUAAACCUCUUUUCUCAGGGAAGAAAAAAAUGACGGUACCUGAGGAAUAAGCAUCGGCUAACUCCGUGCCAGCAGCCGCGGUAAUACGGAGGAUGCAAGCGUUAUCCGGAAUGAUUGGGCGUAAAGCGUCCGCAGGUGGCUAUGUAAGUCUGCUGUUAAAGAAUGAGGCUCAACCUCAUCAAAGCAGUGGAAACUACAAGGCUAGAGUGCGUUCGGGGGUAGAGGGAAUUCCUGGUGUAGCGGUGAAAUGCGUAGAUAUCAGGAAGAACACCGGUGGCGAAAGCGCUCUACUAGGCCGCAACUGACACUGAGGGACGAAAGCUAGGGGAGCGAAUGGGAUUAGAUACCCCAGUAGUCCUAGCCGUAAACGAUGGAUACUAGGCGUGGCUUGUAUCGACCCGAGCCGUGCCGGAGCUAACGCGUUAAGUAU